CGGGGUAUGGUGCAAUGGCAGCACGAACGCUUUGGGAGCGUUUGAUCUCGGUUCGAGUCCGAGUACCCCGA
Non-coding RNA from Candidatus Staskawiczbacteria bacterium, 71 nucleotides. The record is from Rfam. Lineage: Bacteria; Candidatus Staskawicziibacteriota.